UUAAUCUACUCCUACAUCGCCUGGGAACUACGAGCUAAGCUUAAAACCCAAAGGACUUGACGGUACCCCAUAUCCCCCUAGAGGAGCCUGUCCUAUAAUCGAUAAUCCCCGUUUAACCUCACCAUUUUUUGCCAGUAGCCUGUAUACCUCCGUCGUCAGCUUACCACGUGAGCGUCAGUGAGCCUAAUGUUUUUCCAACUACACGUCAGGUCAAGGUGCAACAUAUAAAAUGGGAAGAGAUGGGCUACACUUUCUACUAUAGAAUAAACGAAAGACUAAAUGAAACCUAGUCAGAAGGCGGAUUUAGCAGUAAAAUGAAACUAGAGCGUUCACUUAAAUGCGGCACUGGGGUGUGUACACACCGCCCGUCACCCUCCUCAACUCUGCAUAAAAGUUUUUAACACCUUUCCAGAGACUCAGAAGAGGCAAGUCGUAACACGGUAAG
This 445-nucleotide ribosomal RNA is filed under the name Ameerega bassleri (pleasing poison frog). RNAcentral describes it as "partial 12S ribosomal RNA". It matches the Rfam family "Bacterial small subunit ribosomal RNA", at positions 853 to 1500 of the family's 1533-position model. The record is from RNAcentral. Lineage: Eukaryota; Metazoa; Chordata; Amphibia; Anura; Dendrobatidae.